ACUUAAGUAAUUAAAUUUAUAAUAUAAUACUGAAGAUAUUAAUUUAGGAUAAAUCCUCUUAAGUA
This 65-nucleotide transfer RNA is filed under the name Eucorysses grandis. Its description in RNAcentral is "tRNA-Phe". Lineage: Eukaryota; Metazoa; Arthropoda; Insecta; Hemiptera; Scutelleridae. The record is from RNAcentral.